CACGUAGGGCGCAAGCGUUGUCCGGAAUUAUUGGGCGUAAAGAGCUCGUAGGCGGUCUGUUGCGUCCGCUGUGAAAACUCGGGGCUUAACCCCGAGCCUGCAGUGGAUACGGGCAGACUAGAGGUAGGUAGGGGAGAAUGGAAUUCCCGGUGUAGCGGUGAAAUGCGCAGAUAUCGGGAGGAACACCGGUGGCGAAGGCGGUUCCCUGGGCCGUAACUGACGCUGAGGAGCGAAAGCGUGGGGAGCGAACAGG
This 253-nucleotide ribosomal RNA is filed under the name uncultured bacterium. RNAcentral describes it as "partial 16S ribosomal RNA". It matches the Rfam family "Bacterial small subunit ribosomal RNA", at positions 524 to 776 of the family's 1533-position model. The record is from RNAcentral.